This 30-nucleotide non-coding RNA is filed under the name Mus musculus (house mouse). Lineage: Eukaryota; Metazoa; Chordata; Mammalia; Rodentia; Muridae. The record is from RNAcentral.
UCCGGGCGUUCUACUGGUUCUGAGGAUUGU